Non-coding RNA from Linepithema humile (Argentine ant), 1357 nucleotides. Lineage: Eukaryota; Metazoa; Arthropoda; Insecta; Hymenoptera; Formicidae. The record is from RefSeq and is a predicted model, not a curated record.
CAAUAAAAUUGUCGAAUUCAUAUAAAAGUUUUCAUUAUUCACGUUUUCGCUCUUAGAGAAAAAUUACAUGAUCGAUGCCUAGUAUAUUUUACAGAGCUCAAUGGUGCAGGUAGACAUUAGUUUGAAAAUGGACUGAUAUUGACCAAAAUAUGCAGAUCGUGCGAGUACUGUGUUGAAACAAACUUUCGCCAAAUAUUCGAUAGUAUAGAUUGGUAACUUAUAUCAAAGAUUGAUUUUUUGGCUCGUAAUAAUCCACACAGCACACAUGUCGAAAAUACAUUCAAAGGAUGUUCUGUUGUCCCAAAAGCAUCUUCGAUAAAUCCUCUGGACAUCUUUUGUAUAUGCUGUGCUAUCUAGAUAAGUUUUUAUAAAUUGUUUUAGGUCUAUUUUCACUAGAGAAAUAGAACAAACUGAUUGGACUAUACAUGUAACACAACAAAAAAACUUAUUUUAUCGAAAAUGCAAUGAGAAAACAAACUUUUUUUGGCCGUUGAUGUAUCACGUGUGCCACGAUUAUGAAUUGGAAUUGGCUGCAGGAUUAUAACUUGGGUUAAACUGUGCAAUUAAUCAUGCAAAUGAGAUUCUUCAUGAUUCUUAAGUACUACAGAGAAAUUUGGUUGUUAAAUGUAAAUGCAUAUUGGACAAUAUUAAUGCACUUGACUAUACAUUCCUAGAUAGAUCGUUGAAAACAUACCAUUCAUUCUAAGAAGCCAAGGGAAAAGUGUAGGUAGGCAUAAAAAGACGGUAUAGAAAUAAUUUUAAGCCAUGGAUGGUCCUGGAUAUUCUCUGAAGCUCUGUUCAGUCAGAUCAGAAGGAUAUAAUAUCAGGAUACUCUACAAACGAAAAUAGAUGCCAAAAACCUUUUUUUCGCAUUAAGGCAAUUGAACCCUAUACCCGGACCUUAUAUCCUAAGGUUACUUUUGUUUCGCUCUGUUUUCUAAGAAAAGAAUUUUGCAGAAAGACAUUUUUCAUUGCUCUUUAUAUCUCAGCCUGCUGAGGUUCUGCUAUGCUUUUGAUCUGUUGGUCAAUGGUUAGGUUUUCACUUGCACCCCUUUGUUAAAAUCUGUCCCUAUUAAAGUAUCACAUUUUUGUCUAUUUUCAGCCUCCUGCUUUCCUAAAUUACUAUAUUUUUGCUUUUGGUAGGCGAGGAUUUUAUAUUAUUUUUUUAACAACUCAAAUUUGGAUUCUAUUUAACAAUUUGUUAAUUAUUUUAUUUACACAAAUAUAUGAAACUAAUUAUUGUAGACAAGUUAUACGUAAAAGAUUGCGUUUGUUUUUAUAUCAAUUUCUACAUGUAAGCUUGUAACAAUCAAUUCUUUUUCUACUGCCAAAAUUAAGUUUUGAAUGUUUCAUCGAU